This 397-nucleotide ribosomal RNA is filed under the name Brachionidae environmental sample. Its description in RNAcentral is "SSU rRNA". It matches the Rfam family "Eukaryotic small subunit ribosomal RNA", at positions 806 to 1199 of the family's 1831-position model. Lineage: Eukaryota; Metazoa; Rotifera; Eurotatoria; Ploima; Brachionidae. The record is from RNAcentral.
GGCUUGGCGUGUUUUAAAAGGACGUCGGUUCUAUUUUGUUGGUUUUGUAGAGCAUUGAGGUAAUGAUUAAUAGGGACAGACGGGGGCAUUCGUAUUGCGGUGUUAGAGGUGAAAUUCUUGGAUCGCCGCAAGACGAACAACUGCGAAAGCAUUUGCCAAGAAUGUUUUCAUUAAUCAAGAACGAAAGUUGGAGGUUCGAAGACGAUUAGAUACCGUCCUAGUUCCAACCAUAAACGAUGCCAACUAGCGAUUAGCUGAUGUUAUUUAAACGACACAGCUAGCAGCUUCCGGGAAACCAAAGUUUUUGGGUUCCGGGGGAAGUAUGGUUGCAAAGCUGAAACUUAAAGGAAUUGACGGAAGGGCACCACCAGGAGUGGAGCCUGCGGCUUAAUUUGAC